RNAcentral lists this ribosomal RNA (460 nucleotides) under uncultured bacterium. RNAcentral describes it as "partial 16S ribosomal RNA". It matches the Rfam family "Bacterial small subunit ribosomal RNA", at positions 338 to 795 of the family's 1533-position model. The record is from RNAcentral.
CCUACGGGGGACAGCAGUGAGGAAUAUUGGUCAAUGGACGAGAGUCUGAACCAGCCAAGUAGCGUGAAGGAUGACUGCCCUAUGGGUUGUAAACUUCUUUUAUAUGGGAAUAAAAUGUUCCACGUGUGGGAUUUUGUAUGUACCAUAUGAAUAAGGAUCGGCUAACUCCGUGCCAGCAGCCGCGGUAAUACGGAGGGUCCGAGCGUUAUCCGGAUUUAAUGGGUUUAAAGGGAGCGUAGGUGGAUUGUUAAGUAAGUUGUGAAAGUUUGCGGCCCAACCGUAAAAUUGCAGUUGAAACUGGCAGGCUUGAGUACAGUAGAGGUGGGCGGAAUUCGUGGUGUAGCGGUGAAAUGCUUAGAUAUCACGAAGAACACCGAUUGCGAAGGCAGUUCACUGGACUGCAACUGACACUGAGGCUCGAAAGUGUGGGUAGCAAACAGGAUUAGAUACCCGUGUAGUC